This is a long non-coding RNA of Triticum dicoccoides, 1691 nucleotides long. RefSeq lists it as uncharacterized. Lineage: Eukaryota; Viridiplantae; Streptophyta; Magnoliopsida; Poales; Poaceae. The transcript has 2 exons. The record is from RefSeq and is a predicted model, not a curated record.
GGCGACGGUGGCGCUGGCUCGACGCGGGGGAGCGGCCGAUGCGGGGUCGGUUGGAUCGAGGCGUGGGAGCGGCGGAUGCGGCGGCGGCGGCACGAGAAGUGCAACGGCGGCGGCGUCGACCUAUGAAGAGGCGAGAGGAGCGGUGGUGGCGGCGUCGAGCUGCGAAGAGGCGCCGCUCGGGCGCGAGACCAUGGAGGCGGGAGCGGCUGCUUCGGGCCCUGAUAUGAGAGGGUACGAGGCAGGGAAGGACAGCAUCGUCGCCGUCACAGGUCUUCCUUCAGUCCCUUUCUUUCCCUCUCCGGUUCAUCCUCUUCCCAUCCAUCGCAUUAGGUAAGUUCCAUUAGGAUCCGGUGCCACCGUGCGCCAUGAUUUCAGAUUGGCCUGCCUGCUACCCCGAAUGAAUGCGCCACCCAGUCAGCCGAGUGAUGGCAGAAUAUGCUUUUGUAGAACUGCAUAUCUAUUUGUUAUGAAUCUAGAGUCUCAAAGCCAAUAAGUUGCUAAAUCAUUGACUGGUUGUUUCCAUGUUUGUAUUAUGCGCUUCUCACUCGGCAAGGGGAGCAUUAGGCCUCCUAUGGUCUGGAUUUCUCCAAAUGACCAGGCUUUGCGAAAAUUGUAUACGCAUGUCUUACAGCCUAGGUAUUCCUCUUCUAGAUAUACUCUAUUGUUUUUGUUCACUUAAUUCUAAUGAGUAUUUAAACUUCUUCAAGCAUAUUGGACUUUUGAACCUAUGUAGCCAGCUCUUUGGAAUUUAUCUAGACAAGUAUUUUUGGUAAUGAUAUGUAUUUGCAAGCUUACUUCUCAGUUUUUUCUAUUGUUGGGUACAUAUAGAUAAUUUCGUUGGGUUUCUACAAAGUACAUAUAGAUAAUUUUCGACCAUUUGUGACUGAAAGAUUUUUGCCAUAAUAAAAUUAACUCUGUCGAGCAGUGCUCGUUGUGAAGGAAAUGACGGGAAAUUGCUGAGCCUUAUUGAUUGGAAGAGGAAUGCUAAUCCUACAAAUAGAUCUAUAAUGAAUUAGACUUGAGAACAAUCACCAAAUAAUAAACAGUCCCAAAUUUGUAGAUGUUGUUUGAUUCAAAUACCGAUUUGAGCAUUUGGCGCAUCUAAAAUUCAUCAAAAAGGAUGCGUGAUUUUCUGCCUAAUCACUUAGUGUAUUGUUUGGUAAUCAGGUUAUCCUGGACCUCUUUGGGGACAAAAUCACCAAGUUUUCUUCUUAUUGCACAGCAAGUUAAAAAAAGUCAGUGGCUAAUGACUCUUCUUAUCUCUCUGUUCACUGAUGUGCUUAGCUGCAAAAAUUCUAAAAAGAUGCGCCUAAUGAGGGGGUGGUGGAUGUGCGUCCUCUAGGGCCUCGUCGGCCAGAGAAGGAGGGGAGGAGCGGUUGCCGACGAGCGAGGUGGCUCUGUUUGGACCGGCCAUGGUGUUGGCUGUUGACUCCCACCGGUCUUGUCUCCCCCAACCCUUCCAUGGAGCUCGCUUAGCCACCGGCUGGCACAUCUUCUUCUCGCUCACAGCACCAAGGCCAUGUGUAGCUUACUUUUUAACUGUUAUUGCUGAUUGGAGCCAUUGCUAUUGGCUAUUUAUACAUAAGAUGGAAGGUGAAUUGAGAUUUUUGUGAGGGGGAUUGGAUUCUAUCCAGAUGGCUUGCUUCUCGUGAUGAGACUGAUACUAAUGAACUAAUGAAGACAUGAAGGUU